Molecule: transfer RNA, 68 nt
Filed under: Inocellia elegans
Lineage: Eukaryota; Metazoa; Arthropoda; Insecta; Raphidioptera; Inocelliidae
Description: tRNA-Pro
Source: RNAcentral
CAGAAAAUAGUUUAAUAAAAAUAAUAAUUUUGGAGAUUAUUGAUAAUAUAUAAAUAUAUUUUUUCUGA